CCACAGUAUAAUUCACUAGAAGAAGUUCCCCUUCAAAAUUUAUUAGUGGAAAUUUAGGACAUUGCUUGAAGUUAUUUUAUAAAAUUCCGGCAUGCUUUCUUUCUUUUUUUUAAAAGAACUUUUUAUUUAUUAUUAUUUAUUUAUUUUUUGUCUUUUGAGGGACGUACCCGCAGCAUAUGGAGGUUCCCAGACUAGGGGUCUAAUCAGACGUGUAAUUGCUGGCCUGUGCCAGAGCCACAACAACUCGGGAUCCGAGCCGCCUCUGCGACCCACACCAUAGCUCAUGGCAACGCUGGAUCCUUAACCCACUGAGCGAGGCCAGGGAUCGAACCUGCAACCUCGAGGUUCCUAGUUGGAUUCGUUAACCACUGCGCCACGCCACGAUGGGAAGUCCAAUUCUGGCAUGCUUUCUAACUCCAUUUCUGGGAAGUUGUGCUAUCUAGUAAACAUAAACCAGCUUGAGGAUUAAUUUACUUAUAGGAGGUGUGGGGGGGAGGUGGCUGUAUUAUUAGGUCCGCCCAGUAGGGCUUUUUGGUUUUCUUUUGUUUUUAAAACCAAGACUCUCUCUUCUUGAAUAGUUCUGUGGGAAAUGUGUUGCUUGGCAACCCCCCCACACACACAUCCUCACCCUCUGCACUGACUGGGGGCCAUUUACUCUCAGAGAAACCACCAGGAGGAAGCUGCCUGUGAGGGAGAUGAGCUGUCAGCAACACUGCACUCAGAGGACUGCCCUUGCAGAGAGCUGCAAGCAGACAAACCAGAACUCCAGAGCCCCUGGUCUCCUGGCUCAUUUGAAUUUGUCCUCUAGUCUGUUACAUAUUUUUUUCACACGUAUAAUCGUUUGUUUGCAGUCUGGAAAUAUAAAACCAGUCAAGAAACAGAGGCCAGAGUAUUGAUUCCACAUAUAAUUGAUAUCAUAUCCAAGGAAAACCCUAAUUGGAAAAGAUACAUGCACCCCAAUGUUCAUUACAGCACUGUUUAUGAUAACCAAAACAUGAAAGCAACCUAAAUGUCCAUCAACAGAGGAAUGGAUAAAGAAGAUGUGGCACAUAUAUGAAAUACAUAAAUGAAAUACUACUCAGCCAUAAAAAAUAAUGAAAUAAUGCCAUUUGCUACAACAUGGUUGGACCUAGAGAUGAUCAUAGUGAGUGAAGUAAGUCACACAGAGAAAGACAAAUAUCAUAUCAUAUAUCACAUUCUAAUGCUCAGGGUGUUUAGGAGCAAGGACAGUGCUUAGCAGAGAGUUUUGCUAAACAGGGAGAGGAAAAAAUUAUUAAGCAUUUACUCAGUGCCAGGAAUUGUGGUGGGUGCCUUACGUCUGUAGUGGACACUGAGGUUAACUUAUGACUUUCAAUCCAAGCCUGCCUUUGAGCAGCAACAAAGGAAUGGUUUCUAAACAGCCUAAUCCCCUCAAAGGAGAUUCAUUCCCUUGCCUGGUGGUGGUGGUGGGUGGGAGGGCAGCUUCUAGAAUCCAGGUUUAAGCCAAUCAGAGCAUUGCACUCCCCUAAUGAGUGGAUAGAUUAAGGCUGGGCCUGAGAUCUAAACUGGGCAUUCAUACAGAAAGGAAAGAUUCUUUCCAUUUAGGGGCAUGAGGCCAAAGCUCUGGGCAGCAGAUGCAUGCAAGCAUAUAGAUCCUUAGUGCCAGAGAGUCGUUAAAUCCAUCAACCAAACCUAAACUGAGCUGACCAGACAUCCUCCACUCCCUCCCCAUACCUUUCUCAGCUUGCUCUCUGCUCUGAAAGGCUGACUUGUCUGGACUGUGUGGUUGCGCUCUCUUGUCCUCUGGCUCUUGGGGAACAUGGGCAGGAUGUGGAAAGAGGGAGCAGGGUAAGACUCUGCAUACUCAUUCUGAGAUAAUCCCCUGUUUGGAGCAUCUUCUUCUGUGAGAUGACACCCUCCCUUACUAUUUAAACUGGUCUGAAUUAUGUUUAUUCGUUAUUUACAGUAACACAUGUACCCACAAACAUAUGUUAUCUCUUGUAAACUUCAGGAGAAGUUAAGGUGCCGUUAUUCUUUCUGUGUUAUUACUCUAAGUGAACCAUGGGCCAGAGAGGUUGAAUACCUUGGACAAGAAGCUAAAGAGGCUGCUUUUGUCCCUUAAGUGUAGAAACUGAUUUAUGUUUACUAAAUGCUCUUUUAUAGUAUUGUUGUUUUGUUUAAAACAUUACUAAAUGUCUUUCAAGUACUUUCUUAACCAAAUGUCAUAAUCAGAAAAUAGGCUCACUUAACC
RNAcentral lists this long non-coding RNA (2230 nucleotides) under Sus scrofa (pig). RNAcentral's name for it is "lncRNA (ENSSSCG00045000209.1)". Lineage: Eukaryota; Metazoa; Chordata; Mammalia; Artiodactyla; Suidae. The record is from RNAcentral.